UACGGAGGAUGCGAGCGUUAUCCGGAUUUAUUGGGUUUAAAGGGUGCGCAGGCGGGAGAUUAAGUCGGCGGUGAAAUUUUGCAGCUCAACUGUAAAAGUGCCUUCGAAACUGGUUUCCUUGAGUUUGGUUAAGGUAGGCGGAAUGUGUAAUGUAGCGGUGAAAUGCUUAGAUAUUACACAGAACACCAAUUGCGUAGGCAGCUUACUGAGCCGACACUGACGCUGAGGCACGAAAGCGUGGGGAUCGAACAGGAUUAGAUACCCGUGUAGUCCCU
RNAcentral lists this ribosomal RNA (275 nucleotides) under uncultured prokaryote. RNAcentral describes it as "partial 16S ribosomal RNA". It matches the Rfam family "Bacterial small subunit ribosomal RNA", at positions 524 to 798 of the family's 1533-position model. The record is from RNAcentral.